Molecule: long non-coding RNA, 730 nt
Organism: Cynara cardunculus var. scolymus (artichoke)
Lineage: Eukaryota; Viridiplantae; Streptophyta; Magnoliopsida; Asterales; Asteraceae
Exons: 2
Source: RefSeq, a predicted model, not a curated record
GGGUUUAUCAUUUUACAGUCCUGUAUAUAUACCACCAUGCGUCUCAAUCUAUCGUAUCCUUCGCAUGCUUGUAUGCAGUUAUUUGUUGUAUAGAUAUUUAUGUCUGAGAUUACAAGUUUCCGGCGAGCACAACGGUGCUCUGUAUUUCAAACCAUCCGCGGUCUGCAAUUCAGAAUAUAAACUGAUGUGUUUGUCGGUCGGGUUUUGUAGCUAUCUUGCAACCGUGUCUCUGAUUUCGAGCGUUCGAUGCCACGUCGCCGGUAGCCAAAGUUGCAUUGACCGGCGAUGCUAUGAUCGGACCUAUAACAAGCUUCCGCGUUUCGCAUCAUUAUAGGAACCUGUGAACUGAUAAGUUUUCGUUCAUUCACAGAGCCGGUUUUUGCGAUUACAUUCUUCAUGUUUUUAUCAAAAUCUUAAAAAUUCUGUUUGUUUAUUUGAUUGGAAUGAAGCUGAAGCCAGUGAGGAUUUAACUCUAUAAGUUGGAAUUACCGACUGAAUUCAUUGAUGAGAAAUUGCAAAUCUGAGGCUUUUUUUUGGUAUUAUGAACUUAAGAAUUACUAGCAUUUUUUAUUUCAAAAUGAAAAGGAACUAAAAUGUUUUUGGAUUUCUGUAGUAGUUAAACAUGAAUAGCAGAAAGUGUAGCCAAUGAGGAAUGAUCAUUAUAAGUUGGAAUUACCGACUGAGUUUACAUUGAUGACAAAUAAUCAUCGACCAUCUGAGGCUCCUCUAU